RNAcentral lists this non-coding RNA (25 nucleotides) under Rattus norvegicus (Norway rat). Lineage: Eukaryota; Metazoa; Chordata; Mammalia; Rodentia; Muridae. The record is from RNAcentral.
CCCACUUGAGCCCGGUGGCCUCAGA